GGAUUAUAGGCAUGCAUUACCAUGUCUGGCUGUGACAAGUUAUAUCUUUCUUUAAGAUUUAAUGACUUCUCAUUAAAGCUGUGUAAGACGUUAGAUGAACCUAACUGAAAUUUUCAAAUAUAUUAAUUAAAAAGAAAUUUGUUGCUUACCUGCUGUGUACUUGAGGGGUGAGAAUGGACAGAAAGUCUAAAAAUUGUGAUGGUGUCCUUUAGAAGCUUACAAUUUUAUCAAGGAAAGAGAAAAGUAAUAAAAGUAUGAUUGAGGUAGAGAUGAAUUGCUAAGGAAGAUUAGAAAAUAAAAAGAUAAAAAAUAUCACUUUGAAAGGGAAGAACAUAAUAGGCAUCAUGGAAGAGGCCACAAAGGCUGGACAUCAAACAAGAUUUUAGCAGGUCAAGAAGGUCAAACAAUAUCCUAGGUGAAGAAACCAAAACCAGAAAUUUUUAAAAUGAUUGGUGGAGUGUCAGUUUGUGAUGGAGUACAUACCAGUACCUAGCAUUCCUUAGCAUAGAAAAAAUCAUGAAACUUACAAAAGAGCUGGUUUAAAAUAUGUAUAGAGAUUAGAUAAUAGAAGUAAGAACCCAUAGAUAUAAACAGGUGAUUGGAGGGGCAGGUGAAAAGAACUCUAAUUACUUAAAAUCAUCUCUGUGCAAGUAAUAAUAUGAAAAUGUCUAUACAGCAUUUAUGAUGUACCAGGCAAGGUUGUAAAUGUUUGAAAUACAUUAUCUCUUAAUCCACACAAGUGUCUUAUGAGGUAGGUACUAUUAAUAACACUAUUUAACAGAUGAAGAAAGAGAAAUAAUUAACUUGUACCUAAGAUCACCUGGCUGGUAAUUUGUGAAACUGGACAAAUCCAAGUAGUUGUUUCCAUAGUCUGUUUUUAAGCUGCUGACGACUUCUCACAGGCUUUUUGGUUGAAAUUGGUCAUUUUGAAGUUGGGACACAUAAUCGACUACUAAAUUAUAUAAGUUCCUUCUGUUUUAUUCUCUGAGGUUACUGUCUUUAGAAGAAACACAAAUCUGACCACAACAGAUGUUCAUUGAAUACCUGCUGUGUACCAGGAAUUGUUCC
This 1068-nucleotide long non-coding RNA is filed under the name Marmota monax (woodchuck). The record is from RNAcentral. Lineage: Eukaryota; Metazoa; Chordata; Mammalia; Rodentia; Sciuridae.